UACGGGAGGCAGCAGUGGGGAAUAUUGCACAAUGGGCGGAAGCCUGAUGCAGCGACGCCGCGUGAGGGAUGACGGCCUUCGGGUUGUAAACCUCUUUCAGUAGGGAAGAAGCGAAAAGUGACGGUACCUGCAGAAGAAGCGCCGGCUAACUACGUGCCAGCAGCCGCGGUAAUACGUAGGGCGCAAGCGUUAUCCGGAUUUAUUGGGCGUAAAGAGCUCGUAGGCGGUUUGUCGCGUCUGCCGUGAAAGUCCGAGGCUCAACCUCGGAUCUGCGGUGGGUACGGGCAGACUAGAGUGAUGUAGGGGAGACUGGAAUUCCUGGUGUAGCGGUGAAAUGCGCAGAUAUCAGGAGGAACACCGAUGGCGAAGGCAGGUCUCUGGGCAUUUUACUGACGCUGAGGAGCGAAAGCAUGGGGAGCGAACAGGGAUUAGAUACC
Molecule: ribosomal RNA, 437 nt
Filed under: uncultured bacterium
Lineage: Bacteria
Description: bacterial SSU rRNA
Rfam family: Bacterial small subunit ribosomal RNA
Source: RNAcentral